Sapajus apella (tufted capuchin) is the source of this 3107-nucleotide long non-coding RNA. RefSeq lists it as uncharacterized. Lineage: Eukaryota; Metazoa; Chordata; Mammalia; Primates; Cebidae. The transcript has 2 exons. The record is from RefSeq and is a predicted model, not a curated record.
AUGGCGCCACUGUAUUUAGCCUGGUGACAGAGCAAGACUGUCUCAAAAAAAAAAAAAAAAGAAAAAAAGAAAGUAAAACUGUCGUCUCUUCUUUAGGCCAGAGAUUGGCCGCCCCAAGCUAGAUAGUGACACAUGCUGCUCCAUGGCUGCCCUUUUAGAAGGACAAGUAUGAGAAUAACCUGGUCAAGUAACCUCUGAGGUGAUUCCAAAGGAUUUCAAAACAAAAUAGGGAUUUUUGGAGUAUAGAUUUGAGCAAAAGCCAGUGUGGGCCGGCACAUGAUACAGAAUCUGCCAACUUUGCAAUUUAGAAAAGGGGAAAGAAAGCCAACAGUUUUUUCCUGGCAGCGUGGGCCCACUUGGUCUCAGGCCCCCGUGUCUGCUGAGUGAACAAGUCUGCAAGCAUUUCUCCAUCAUCCCCACCCUGAGAGGAGGCAGCAGCCAGCCACAGAAGCAGUAUAUACAGAGCCAGAGUGCCACUGGGCUGUGACACCAUCAUCCACCAAGGUUGCUGUGGCACAGGGAGUUUGGUCAUCUUUGUAGUAUUCUUUAGAAGACCCCUGAGAGUGACCACCCUUAGGGGCUGUACAGAUCCCAUCUUCGCAUUGAACUUGCUUUUGAAUUUGGCCUUUUCACCUCUUACUCUCCUUUUCUGGGUGUUUCCUGUCUAUUUAGUCAGGAUUGAGGGAUGUCUGAUCAGAUGCCAUGGUCAGUCAGUAAGCUAAAGCGUUGAAGCUGGACAGUGUGGUCUGGUAAGUUGAGACCAGUGAGGCUUGGGCCAACACAUCAGACAGAAAACUGCCCCCAGUUGAGCAGUGGGACUUGUCAUUGACUUUAAGGAAGAACAACGUUGAAAGGUUCUCAGUGUGGUCAGUGGCUAAAGUUAAUCAAGGAGAGAGGAAGACACUGUUCUUGGUGCUGCAGGUCCUGCCUAGCCCUUGAGGCUUGAGAACACCCCUUGGAAUAAACUAGAGAGGGAGGUACACUGGGUCAGGGGUACAGAUUUCCUUUCAGAAGCUUAGAAGUUAAUGGGGAUGUGGUAAUCCACAGUUGCUUCUUUGUAGCUAUAAAAUGUGACAUGUGUUUGGAGCCAAGGAUGACUUUUCUCUUUCAGAAUAAAGUUUGCAUUUUUUCCUAAAACAGGUAAAUGAUGGGAGAUGAAACCAGACGAUAAUUCAGAUUCUGGCCCCAGAUAAUUGCUUGGAUUUCUUGAGAUAGGGAGGUUCCUACGUUUGGCAUAGUGUGAGAAACAUUUAAGGUGUUGCUAAAGGCGCGGGUGGCUCUUCAGUGUCUCUGAAGAACCACAAACAGUUCAGGUCUUAUCCAGAUUAUAAGGGAGAGGCUAGCUGUGCAAGAGCCGGGGACAAGCCAGUCAGGUGAGAACACAGGAGUGAGACCCCAGUGCAGAAAGGGUCUGGGGUAUCUGUGGGGUAUGGCUGGAGGCUGCAGCAGGCUGCAGCAUGAGAAGGGAGUGAGGGGUGGGAUGUCCUGAAGUCCAGGCUCUCUGCCACAAUCUAGCCAGAGGGGAUCUAGGCUGGGUUCUGUAUCCAAAUAGGAGUGGGUUAGGUGUGAGGUGCAUUUUGGAGGUGGAACAGAAAGGACCAGCUGGAGGAAUGAGUGGAGGUAAAGAGGAAAGAGGAAUUGGGUUUUGUUGCAUGAGCAGCCAGUGGGUGGCUGUGUCCUUCAUGGAUACAGGGGAGCCAAGGGACCAGAAGUGGUGCUUCAGACAUCUUUUGUCUGGGACGCCUUUUAGGCAUCCAAGUGAACGUGUUGAAUAACUAGUGAGCUGACAAGCCAGCCAGGUGGAGGGCUCAGGUAGGAGACGUGGGCUUGGGGGAGUGGACCGAAUUCUGUGAUAACAGAGCUGGCCAGGGGCAGGGCAGGGAACAAAGGAACCACAAGAAGUGACUUCCCUGUUGGACUUUGAAGACGGUAUUAGAGCAUGAAGAGCCUUCCGGAAGAGGACACAGAGUGUAAAAGAGGAGUGUGUGUGUUUCCAGGGUGAGUUAGGAGGCUGGAAGCUUUAGGGCUGGCUCAUGGAGGGGACGUCUCCUGUGUGAAGAAUGUGGACUUCUUCCUGACUGCAGCAGGAAGUCUGUCUAUAGUCAUUAAGCAGGGUCGUGAAAUGAUCAGAUUUAGCUUUUCACAUGAUUAUUCUGGCAGCAGAGGACUGAGAGCACCACGAUCCCAGCAAGAGACACCCAGGACCCUCAGGGACUUGCUCCAAAUACAGGUCCCUGGUUUGUUUCUAAGAGCUUAACUGUGGAGGUGCCUGGCUCACCUGCCCAGGGACUCUGGCCGCUUAGCAAAAGGGAGGGUGAGGGAUCCGGCGGAGCAUGAUGGCCUGGCUGCUGAAUUCUGUCCUGCCUAGGGUCUAAAGAUGUUCUUAUUCCCACAGGGCCAGUUGUUAGAAAUGCAGGCAGUGACACAGAUGCAUUCUUCUCUCAGUGGUGCCUUUUUUUUUUAAUUGUUCCCUGCAGCAGCACAUUCCAUGGCAGAUUCCAUGACAGGGCUACUCUUACUCUUGAUUUCAGUGGUUUUGAUUUUAUGUCUGUUGCCAUAGUGCCUGGAGCUAAGCCUUAUCAAAUAAUUGCACAUCUGGUGAUCACUUAGGCUUCUAGAAACGUGAAGCAGGGAGGAUCCUCAAGGGACUCUGGUCAGCACUCCUGCUGCUGAGAGGCUUCACCACAUUCCCCCAGACUCACCAAUAGCCUAUUACACUUGAUACACCUGUGUGUGCGCACCAGCGCACUCAGCGCCCCCCUCCUCACAACCCAGCCCCUUGUGAGGCUGGCUGGACCACAGCUUGCCGUGUUCUGCACCAUUCUAGGGCAAAAGGAUUUGCCCAAAGUAUGUCACUAGACGUGACAAAACAGGCCCUUAGUCCAGUGCCUUUGGCAGGGGCUAGCUAGCUGGAGCAACACGGCCAUAUUCAGAUGCCCAUCCCACCACUUGUUAGCUGUGUGCCCGUCCCCCCUCCCCCGCCCCACCUGAGGGUGACAGGAUCCUCCUGAAAGUCUGUUAGGAGGAUUAAAUGAUCCGCUAAAUAGGAUUUUUCAUUCAUAAGCACUCAAUAAAUGGUAGCUGCUGUUGUUAUUCAUCCCACUGUA